RNAcentral lists this long non-coding RNA (533 nucleotides) under Hordeum vulgare. RNAcentral's name for it is "long non-coding RNA (HVUL_LNC018723)". The record is from RNAcentral. Lineage: Eukaryota; Viridiplantae; Streptophyta; Magnoliopsida; Poales; Poaceae.
CUGUUUAUUGUAUUGUAGGAGCAUAUGCCAAGACAUGUGGUUAGGCCAUCUGAUUACCUUAUCUGCUGUAUAAUAUUGUUUCCCAUUUCUUUAGGUUAUGGUGGGAAGGAAAGGAACAAAAGUUCUGACCAAUGAGGCCGGUGAAGUCACAAGGCAAGCGGAAAUUGUUUGCCCAUCAAUUUGUUUAUCUGAUUUAUUCAAACUAGCUGUUGGGAUGACUGCGUUUUGCGCUGCAGCAGUCUACUUGGAGAUCAAGUAUAUACGUGAAAGGCAAGCAGCGUUAGAAGAAAAAGGAUGAUUGAGUGUCAGACGUGUCUUUAGUUUCCAUGAGCAAUCGUUACUAUGAUUGCUAUGUCUCGUAGCUUGUAUAUGUCUCGACUUUGUGUAAGUAUUUUUUUUAAAAGGAGGAAGACCCCCGGCCUAUGCAUUUGAGCGAUGCAUGCACCCAUUUUGUUAUAUGAUGGAUGAUUUUAAUUCGACUUGGAGUUUUCUUGAUUUGAAUAUGAAAUAGUGUUGGAUUAAAUAUUGGACAA